AUGACUAGUCUAAAUUUAAGUGUGCUUAAUUGGAAUGUACGUGGCCUGAACUGCCCCAAUAGAAGAACCACUGUGAAUGCCACCAUUGCAGCUUCAACAUGUCACUUGGCUUGCCUCCAGGAAUCAAAUCUUGAAGAUGUGGAUGCCUACACCGCUGCUUUUCUUGGCGGAUAUAGACUGAAAGGUUUUGCUCAACGCCCUGCUGUUGGAACGCGGGGUGGAAUCCUACUUAUCUGGAAUGAAGAUCAUGUCCGCGUUGAAAGUGUCCAGUAUGGCGACUACACCCUCUCGGCCAGUGUCACUAUCAUCAGCUCCAAUAUUUCUUUCAAGCUAACCUCCGUUUACGGCCCAACUAGAAACAACCUAAAAGAGGCAUUCUUCCAGGAAAUGAAGGACCAAAAGCCAGCAAAUAAUGUGAGGUGGCUCGUCACCGGCGAUUUUAACCAAAUCUACAGGGCUAGAGAUAAGAAUCGUCCAAAUGCUAACCGUGGCCGAAUUGUACGAUUCCGCAACACCCUCAACUUCUGCGAGCUCAAGGAAAUCCACAUCCAGAAUAGAAAAUACACCUGGAGUAAUGAGCAAAGCAACCCGACAAUGUCCAAACUAGAUGGGUUCUUCUGUAAUGAGGAAUGGGAUAUCACUUUCGAUAAACACAUCCUUCACGCCCUGUCAUCCUCACUUUCGGAUCACUGCCCUCUACUCCUCGCCAAUGAAGAUGGGCCUCGGCGGCCGCGGACUUUCAGAUUUGAAAAUUUUUGGACCAACAUGCCAGGCUUUUAGCAGGUCGUCCAGGAGGCGUGGAAUGAGACGUCCGCACACAAUGAGCCAUACCAAAGACUGUUCCACAAGCUAAAGAACACAAGUCAGAAGCUUCGCUCCUGGAGCAAAAGCCUUUUCUCUAAUGCCAAAGUCCAGCUACAUAUGGCUCUGGAGGUCAUCCUAAGACUUGAUGAGGCCCAGGACCUUCGAGAUCUUAGUCCAGCGGAGUUGGAUCUUCGGAAGCGACUCAAGAAAAAAGUAGUGGGCCUUGCGGUGAUGGAACGUGCGCGGAAAAGGCAGACCUCGAGGAUCACCAACAUAAAAGAGGGAGACGCGAAUACCCGCUAUUUUCACCUUAGAGUCGGAGGAGGAAAAACCUUAUUCACCGCCUAA
RNAcentral lists this ribosomal RNA (1152 nucleotides) under Triticum aestivum (bread wheat). Its description in RNAcentral is "partial small subunit ribosomal RNA". The record is from RNAcentral. Lineage: Eukaryota; Viridiplantae; Streptophyta; Magnoliopsida; Poales; Poaceae.